UGGGGAAUAUUGCACAAUGGGCGCAAGCCUGAUGCAGCCAUGCCGCGUGUGUGAAGAAGGCCUUCGGGUUGUAAAGCACUUUCAGCGGGGAGGAAGGCGUUAAGGUUAAUAACCUUGGCGAUUGACGUUACCCGCAGAAGAAGCACCGGCUAACUCCGUGCCAGCAGCCGCGGUAAUACGGAGGGUGCAAGCGUUAAUCGGAAUUACUGGGCGUAAAGCGCACGCAGGCGGUUGAUUGAGUCAGAUGUGAAAUCCCCGGGCUUAACCCGGGAAUUGCAUCUGAUACUGGUCAGCUAGAAUCUUGUAGAGGGGGGUAGAAUUCCAUGUGUAGCGGUGAAAUGCGUAGAGAUGUGGAGGAAUACCGGUGGCGAAGGCGGCCCCCUGGACAAAGACUGACGCUCAGGUGCGAAAGCGUGGGGAGCAAACAGG
This 429-nucleotide ribosomal RNA is filed under the name Chloroflexota bacterium. RNAcentral's name for it is "Chloroflexi bacterium partial 16S ribosomal RNA". It matches the Rfam family "Bacterial small subunit ribosomal RNA", at positions 355 to 776 of the family's 1533-position model. Lineage: Bacteria; Bacillati; Chloroflexota. The record is from RNAcentral.